Molecule: ribosomal RNA, 485 nt
Filed under: uncultured Glomeromycotina
Lineage: Eukaryota; Fungi; Glomeromycota
Description: SSU rRNA
Rfam family: Eukaryotic small subunit ribosomal RNA
Source: RNAcentral
UGGUGCCAGCAGCCGCGGUAAUUCCAGCUCCAAUAGCGUAUAUUAAAGUUGUUGCAGUUAAAAAGCUCGUAGUUGAAUUUCGGGAUUAGUACGUCGGUCGUGCCUUAGGUACGUACUGGUGUUACUGGUUCCUACCUUCUGACGAACCAUCAUGUCAUUAAUUUGGUGUGGUGGGGAAUCAGGACUGUUACUUUGAAAAAAUUAGAGUGUUUAAAGCAGGCUCGCGCUUGAAUACAUUAGCAUGGAAUAAUGAAAUAGGACGUUGAUCCUAUUUUGUUGGUUUCUAGGAUUGACGUAAUGAUUAAUAGGGAUAGUUGGGGGCAUUAGUAUUCAAUUGUCAGAGGUGAAAUUCUUGGAUUUAUUGAAGACUAACUACUGCGAAAGCAUUUGCCAAGGAUGUUUUCAUUAAUCAAGAACGAAAGUUAGGGGAUCGAAGACGAUCAGAUACCGUCGUAGUCUUAACCAUAAACUAUGCCGACUAGGGA